This 270-nucleotide ribosomal RNA is filed under the name uncultured archaeon. RNAcentral describes it as "partial 16S ribosomal RNA". It matches the Rfam family "Archaeal small subunit ribosomal RNA", at positions 477 to 747 of the family's 1478-position model. The record is from RNAcentral.
CGGCACCUCAAGUGGUCAGGAUGAUUAUUGGGCCUAAAGCAUCCGUAGCCGGCGCUGUAAGUUUUCGGUUAAAUCUGUACGCUCAACGUACAGGCUGCCGGGAAUACUGCAGCGCUAGGGAGUGGGAGAGGUAGACGGUACUCGGUAGGAAGGGGUAAAAUCCUUUGAUCUAUUGAUGACCACCUGUGGCGAAGGCGGUCUACCAGAACACGUCCGACGGUGAGGGAUGAAAGCUGGGGGAGCAAACCGGAUUAGAGACCCGCGUAGUCC